RNAcentral lists this ribosomal RNA (494 nucleotides) under uncultured bacterium. RNAcentral describes it as "partial 16S ribosomal RNA". It matches the Rfam family "Bacterial small subunit ribosomal RNA", at positions 28 to 507 of the family's 1533-position model. The record is from RNAcentral.
GACGAACGCUGGCGGCGUGCUUAACACAUGCAAGUCGAACGGAAAGGCCUGCUUUCCCUUGUGGAUUGCGGGUACUCGAGUGGCGAACGGGUGAGUAACACGUGAGUGAUCUGCCCCCAACUUGGGUAUAAGCCUGGGAAACUGGGUCUAAUUCCCGAUAGGACUGCAGGGUGGUGCCUGUGGUGGAAAACGAUUUUCUAGUGGUUGGGGAUGAGCUCGCGGCCUAUCAGCUUGUUGGUGGGGUAAUGGCCUACCAAGGCGGCGACGGGUAGCCGGCCUGAGAGGGUGGACGGCCACAUUGGGACUGAGAUACGGCCCAGACUCCUACGGGAGGCAGCAGUGGGGAAUAUUGCACAAUGGGCGGAAGCCCGAUGCAGCGACGCCGCGUGGGGGAUGACGGCCUUCGGGUUGUAAACUCCUUUCGACCGCGAGGAAGCCACCUGGUUGGAAGGGUGGUGACGGUAGUGGUAGAAGAAGCACCGGCUAACUACGUG